Long non-coding RNA from Apus apus (common swift), 737 nucleotides. RefSeq lists it as uncharacterized. The record is from RefSeq and is a predicted model, not a curated record. The transcript is spliced from 2 exons. Lineage: Eukaryota; Metazoa; Chordata; Aves; Apodiformes; Apodidae.
CCCGCCCGGCAGCGGCCUGGGCCGCUCGGCUUCGCCGCUGGGCAGCCCCGCCCGCCCCGCGGAGUUCCGGGCGCUCCUCGCCCUCCCGCGGCCCACGGGCCCGGCCCGCUGGGGCGCUGUGCCGGCGGCCGGGUCCUCGCUGGGGGCCUGCCCUGGCAGCCGGGAGGAGGUGGGAGGCCGGGCCGCGCCAGGGCCCCCGUUCGGGGCGGCGGGGCGGUCGCUGGGCGCUGGAGGCCGGGCUGAGGAGGCCCGGCCGGCUGGGCGGUAAGCUGGCCGUGCGGGCGGGUCUGCCGCCCGGCCCGGCUGGGGAUCUCCGAGCGGAGGGGCUGGAAUGCAGGCACAGGCCUGUGUGCGUGGCCGGGGUCUAGUGUGCACCUGAAAUGCCGGCGUCCUGGGGGUGAGCUACCACUAACGGCUGUGAAGAGUCUCGCAGUAACGAGAGACUGGGAUGUAAUGAUUCCUGUAUUCUGUGAAGUGUUUCUGUGAAGAAAAAUAGCAGGGAAUUAAAAAAGAGCCUGAAGAGAACAAAAGAAGAUGGAUGCUGUUUGUUAUGAACAAAAACUGAAGUCUUGCGAAGAGUGAAAGAGCAUAAAAAUUUGUAUCGGAUUAUUUUAUUAUGUGAACUUAUGAUGUAAUGACAGUGACACCAGGAGAUUAAAUUCUGUUUAUAUGGUAGUUUUGCAGUGUUUGAUUCUGGUUCUGUUGUUCUUUCAAUAUAGACCUUCAAUAAUUAAAGA